Molecule: ribosomal RNA, 791 nt
Filed under: uncultured archaeon
Lineage: Archaea
Description: bacterial SSU rRNA
Rfam family: Archaeal small subunit ribosomal RNA
Source: RNAcentral
ACGGCUCAGUAACACGUAGUCAACAUGCCCAGGGGACGUGGAUAACCUCGGGAAACUGAGGAUAAACCACGAUAAGUCACUAUUUCUGGAAUGGAUAAUGACUCAAAUCUACAUGGCCCCUGGAUUGGACUGCGGCCGAUCAGGCUGUUGGUGAGGUAAUGGCCCACCAAACCUGUAACCGGUACGGGCUCUGAGAGGAGGAGCCCGGAGAUGGGCACUGAGACAAGGGCCCAGGCCCUAUGGGGCGCAGCAGGCGCGAAACCUCUGCAAUAGGCGAAAGCCUGACAGGGUUACUCUGAGUGAUUUCCGUUAAGGAGAUCUUUUGGCACCUCUAAAAAUGGUGCAGAAUAAGGGGUGGGCAAGUCUGGUGUCAGCCGCCGCGGUAAUACCAGCACCCCGAGUGGUCGGGACGUUUAUUGGGCCUAAAGCAUCCGUAGCCGGUUCUACAAGUCUUCCGUUAAAUCCACCUGCUUAACAGAUGGGCUGCGGAAGAUACUAUAGAGCUAGGAGGCGGGAGAGGCAAGCGGUACUCGAUGGGUAGGGGUAAAAUCCGUUGAUCCAUUGAAGACCACCAGUGGCGAAGGCGGCUUGCCGGAACGCGCUCGACGGUGAGGGAUGAAAGCUGGGGGAGCAAACCGGAUUAGAUACCCGGGUAGUCCCAGCUGUAAACGAUGCAGACUCGGUGAUGAGUUGGCUAUAUGCCUACUCAGUGCCGCAGGGAAGCCGUUAAGUUUGCCGCCUGGGGAGUACGGUCGCAAGACUGAAACUUAAAGGAAUUGGCGGGGGAGCAC